GCUCGUCUAGCUCAGUUGGUUAGAGCGUCGUGCUAAUAACGCGAAUGUCGCAGGUUCGAUUCCUGCGAUGAGCA
RNAcentral lists this transfer RNA (74 nucleotides) under Hemiselmis andersenii. Its description in RNAcentral is "tRNA-Ile". It matches the Rfam family "tRNA". Rfam says of the family: Transfer RNA (tRNA) molecules are approximately 80 nucleotides in length. Lineage: Eukaryota; Cryptophyceae; Cryptomonadales; Hemiselmidaceae. The record is from RNAcentral.